This 702-nucleotide ribosomal RNA is filed under the name uncultured bacterium. Its description in RNAcentral is "bacterial SSU rRNA". It matches the Rfam family "Bacterial small subunit ribosomal RNA", at positions 56 to 755 of the family's 1533-position model. The record is from RNAcentral.
UGCAAGUCGAACGGUAACAGGCCGCAAGGUGCUGACGAGUGGCGAACGGGUGAGUAAUGCAUCGGAACGUGCCCAGUAGUGGGGGAUAGCCCGGCGAAAGCCGGAUUAAUACCGCAUACGACCUACGGGUGAAAGCGGGGGACCGAAAGGCCUCGCGCUAUUGGAGCGGCCGAUGUCAGAUUAGGUAGUUGGUGGGGUAAAGGCCUACCAAGCCUACGAUCUGUAGCUGGUCUGAGAGGACGACCAGCCACACUGUGACUGAGACACGGCCCAGACUCCUACGGGAGGCAGCAGUGGGGAAUUUUGGACAAUGGGCGCAAGCCUGAUCCAGCCAUGCCGCGUGCGGGAAGAAGGCCUUCGGGUUGUAAACCGCUUUUGUCAGGGAAGAAAUCUUCUGGGUUAAUACCUCGGGAGGAUGACGGUACCUGAAGAAUAAGCACCGGCUAACUACGUGCCAGCAGCCGCGGUAAUACGUAGGGUGCAAGCGUUAAUCGGAAUUACUGGGCGUAAAGCGUGCGCAGGCGGUUAUGUAAGACAGAUGUGAAAUCCCCGGGCUUAACCUGGGAACUGCAUUUGUGACUGCAUAGCUUGAGUGCGGCAGAGGGGGAUGGAAUUCCGCGUGUAGCAGUGAAAUGCGUAGAUAUGCGGAGGAACACCGAUGGCGAAGGCAAUCCCCUGGGCCUGCACUGACGCUCAUGCACG